CAAAGCUAAUUUUUUACCUGGUAGAGGGAACAAAUCGGCCUUUGGUAUAUUGAUUUACCAUUUAGGGUGUUGGCUAUUAGAAUGGAGUUUAGGGUGACAUUACAUUAACUAGUAUUAACUUGGUGAUAGUUUUCAUGUUGAAAUUAACUAGUAUUAACUUGGUGAUAGUUUUCAUGUAUUGGGGUCAUUUUUAUUGCAUGUGCUAUAUUGUAUUUUUUCAUUUUAUUGGUAUAUUAUGUAUUGUAUUGAUGAACUAUGUCAAAACGUGGAAGGAACCACAUAUCAAUUUAAAAUUAUGUUAUUAAAUACAUGUAUGUUUUUUCCAGGUGUUCAGAAACGAUAUUGCUUUGUCUAGUCCUGUAUGUGAUGCAUACUAUAGUAUAAAGGGGCGCACUCGAUUAUUGGUGAAGAUUCUCCAACAGAUUC
RNAcentral lists this long non-coding RNA (426 nucleotides) under Mytilus galloprovincialis (Mediterranean mussel). Lineage: Eukaryota; Metazoa; Mollusca; Bivalvia; Mytilida; Mytilidae. The record is from RNAcentral.